CCGCACAAAGCCCAGCUCCGCCCCCGGCCCGGGGCGCGCUGGGACUCGUAGUCCCGCCGCCCCUGCGGGGGAGGGAAGGGGCCCGCCGGGGGUUCAGGCGCCCCCUCGGCCUCCAUUUUACCUCAGCCAGCGCGGCCUUCCCCACCCAGACGGCCGCCCCCGGCCUACGGGGCGGGCGGGAGCCGGGGGUCUGCCUGCCGCGGGCCCGCAUCCCCCCGCACCCGGAGCGGUGUCAGCGGCGGGGCUGACAGACACCCCCUCUGCGGCUCGGGGGCCGCUUGGCUUCGGACGGCGGGGAAGGUUUGAGCCGCGCUGAGGGGCGCUGGAGGAGUCACGGCCCCGCUCGCCGACCCCACAGCCAUUCACCAAAAUCGGGAAAACGGGGCAGUAUCAGGGUGACGCCACCCAAAUAAAUCUGUAAUGGAGAGGACACCGCCUUGGCAAAAUUGGGAGGAUCAUCCAUCUCCCAUGCGUAUCAAACCCGCCUGCUCUUCAGGUGUUAUUUUCCAUUUAUUGUUCCACGCAAAUUCUUUCCAACGCGACUUUUAAGUCUUGUGGUGGUCAAACACAGCCCCCACCAAUGCUUUGGCCUGGGCCGCUGGGCAGGGGCUGUGUUAGAAGCAAAGAUUUGAAGAAAAUUCUGCUGCUGGGCUUGAGAUGGUACUGACCCAUUUGGUGACUGUGCUGUAUUGCACUUAUAUCUAUUUUAUUCUCCAGUCCAAGACCUAAUUGCCUUCCAGUCACCCCCUGCCUAUCCAUAUCCCUCUGUCUUAUAUUAACAUUCAAUUAUCCUUCCAGAGAAGAAUACUUUUCACUCAGCUCUCACCUCCACGACGACGCACCUACUGCUGUUUCUCCUCCUGGUCAUUGCUGCCUUCAGUCCAUCCUUGCUUUGGUGACCCACAGCGCAGGGGAGGUAUGUGCACCGCUCCGGUGCUCAGUGUUGUGCCAGCCUCACGGUUAUGGAUAAAAUUACAAACGUCAUUAAAGGCUUUCAGUGAUUAUCUGUGAAGUUCUGCCUUUUGCUGCCAGCUAGUUCAGGAAAUUCGGUAAAUCUCAGGAAUCCAGCUACAUGAUGAUUUACUAACCCUGUUACCUGGCGGACAGCAGUAAGCGGAACAGCACGCUCUGCAAUGGAAUUUGGCAGGAUCUGUGAAUUUCUACUGGGAUAUGGGAGCAUUUCCGGCUUUGCCUGGUAGGAGAUGGAUGACAAUGGUGCUAGAGGAACAGCUGACGAAGCUCCACAAAAGCAAUGCAUUAGGAGACCUGAGCUGCAACACAGGUGAUCCUGCAGUUGAAACCCAAGGAAGUGACGGUCUCCGCAGACAACAUAAGUGUCGGACCUGGACCCCUGCCCCACCGAAGUUGAUGCAGGUUUGCUCUGGAGGGCAGAAAGUGUUGUCUGCAAGCAAAGCUGCUUCAGUAUUUAUGUCUCUGGGUCUUCUCGAUUCAGUUUCCUGGCCACUGGUCGCCACGCCUGCUCGCAUCCUCUCACACAGCUCAGCUGGAGAUGAGCCUGCUUGAGCAAGUCAAGUCUCUCUGUCCCCCGGGGCCUGUACUCCCUUCUCACGUGCAAACAGAACAGGGAGAAACCGCCUUUUUGUGUAGAGGGGCUCACAGGGCUGCGCUCGUGGUCCUGCGCAAGGCGCUACCCAACGAGCGAAGUCUGCGGCUGCAAAAGAGCGAUUUAUAGCAAAUUUGCACUUUGCUGUUGGGGGAGGUGGGCCGGCCACCGCUGCCACCGCCCACGUGGAGCACGCCUUGCUCGGCGGGCACCAUCCCCACUGCCACCGGGGACGGGUGGCACGCAGUCUGCCGGUCCCCCGCCGUCACCGGGCCGUCGCCCGGCCUCGGCCUCACCUCUGCCUCCUGACUGCAACGUUUAGAGAGCGUUAGCAUCUUUUGAGACAAUUGCAAUUCCAGCUGCCGCUGCCCCGCGUCCCGCAGCCCGCCGGCUCCGCGCGCUCCCAAGCGCAGAGGUUGGCUGCGGAGGGGAGCCGGCCCCACCGCACGAGCCGACGACAGGCGAGACACCUGGGUGCACCCCAGCUGGGGUUAGCAGGGGCCCGGCGAUGCCCGUAGAAAGCAGACAGAUCGUUGAUGUAAAGGGAGGAAAUUUAGACUGAACUUAAAAAUUAAACUUUUUAAAUUAGUAAAUGCUUUACUGAAGAACAAUUUCCAUUGGUGAGUACGUGAUUCCUUAUUGCUUGAGGGAUUUAAAACCAGACUACUCUCCGCUCCAAAAAAGUGCUAUAAGCAACAGUUCUUUGCUUAUAAUGAACUGGAAAUACUGGCAAGUCUCCAUCUCCUUCAAAUAUUUUCCCUUGUAUCUUCAGAGGUUAAAAUAAAUUCUUCUGAGAUGUAACAGAUGUAGAACGCUGUCAGCGACAUUGCUCCGGCUUUUCUAACCGAGUUCUCUUUCCUCUAAAAUUCACAAGAAGCAGCAACAGUGAACGCCCGUUCCCCCUGACCGAGGUGGCCUGCAGAGCGGGCGCCCCCGAGACGGAGCAGCUCCGUCCG
Non-coding RNA from Phalacrocorax carbo (great cormorant), 2520 nucleotides. The record is from RefSeq and is a predicted model, not a curated record. Lineage: Eukaryota; Metazoa; Chordata; Aves; Suliformes; Phalacrocoracidae.